Molecule: long non-coding RNA, 356 nt
Organism: Melanotaenia boesemani (Boeseman's rainbowfish)
Lineage: Eukaryota; Metazoa; Chordata; Actinopteri; Atheriniformes; Melanotaeniidae
Exons: 3
Source: RefSeq, a predicted model, not a curated record
GGAUUGGGACAGCACUUUGAGACCUGCACUGCAAGGAGAGAGACGCCAAAACGAGAGGAUUACAAUUCUUUAAAAAAAAAAAAAAAAAAAUGACAGAAGAGAAGUUGCUGCAGCGACGAUUUGUCUGGUCUGAAGACCAAACCAAAAAAUUAAUUUGUCUCAGGAUAAAACAUGAAGCGCUAUUUACGGGCUUCCGCAACGCGUCCUUACAAGGAUUUGACUGUUCCAACACGACCGUAGGACGAAGAAGGCUGGUUUUCAGAGAGCAUCGCUGGGGGAGCUGACGGUGGAUGAGGAGCAUCGCCGUGUGGUGGCUUCAGGUUCAUGCUGUUGAAGAAGCCAGACACCUGACCCGG